This 404-nucleotide long non-coding RNA is filed under the name Hordeum vulgare. RNAcentral describes it as "long non-coding RNA (HVUL_LNC017385)". The record is from RNAcentral. Lineage: Eukaryota; Viridiplantae; Streptophyta; Magnoliopsida; Poales; Poaceae.
GGGAAGCUGCCUGGAGUGACCCAACACAUGCUGCUCGACACGGCCAGCGACGUGCCGUGGGUACAGUGCGCGCCCUGCCCACAGCCGCAGUGCUACCGACAGACGGACGUCACCUACGACCCAAGCAAGUCCGGCACCUAUGCCCCCUUCCCCUGCAGCUCCUCCGUCUGCCGCCAGCUCGGACCCUACGCCAAUGGCUGCACCGGCGCAGGCAACACCGGCCAGUGCCAGUACCGCGUCCAGUACCCCGACGGAUCAUCCACCUCCGGCACCUACAUCUCCGACGUGCUCACCAUCAACCCCACCCCCGCCGGCACCGUCGGCAGCUUCCGCUUCGGGUGCAGCCACGCCGUGCAGCGCCCCGACCUCUUCAGCAACACCACCGCCGGAAUCAUGUCUCUCGG